RNAcentral lists this ribosomal RNA (253 nucleotides) under uncultured bacterium. Its description in RNAcentral is "partial 16S ribosomal RNA". It matches the Rfam family "Bacterial small subunit ribosomal RNA", at positions 524 to 776 of the family's 1533-position model. The record is from RNAcentral.
UACAGAGGUCUCAAGCGUUGUUCGGAUUCAUUGGGCGUAAAGGGCGCGUAGGCGGUGCGGUAAGUCACCUGUGAAACCUCUAGGCUUAACCUAGAGCCUGCAGGCGAAACUGCCGUGCUGGAGUGUGGGAGAGGUGCGUGGAAUUCCCGGUGUAGCGGUGAAAUGCGUAGAUAUCUGGAGGAACACCGGUGGCGAAGGCGGCAUCCUGGACCGGUAUUGACGCUGAGGCGCGAAAGCUAGGGGAGCAAACGGG